GAUGAACGCUGGCGGCGUGCCUAAUACAUGCAAGUCGAGCGAACGGACGAGAAGCUUGCUUCUCUGAUGUUAGCGGCGGACGGGUGAGUAACACGUGGAUAACCUACCUAUAAGACUGGGAUAAAUUCGGGAAACCGGAGCUAAUACCGGAUAAUAUUUUGAACCGCAUGGUUCAAAAGUGAAAGACGGUCUUGCUGUCACUUAUAGAUGGAUCCGUGCUGCAUUAGCUAGUUGGUAAGGUAACGGCUUACCAAGGCAACGAUGCAUAGCCGACCUGAGAGGGUGAUCGGCCACACUGGAACUGAGACACGGUCCAGACUCCUACGGGAGGAAGCAGUAGGGAAUCUUCCGCAAUGGGCGAAAGCCUGACGGAGCAACGCCGCGUGAGUGAUGAAGGUCUUCGGAUCGUAAAACUCUGUUAUUAGGGAAGAACAUAUGUGUAAGUAACUGUGCACAUCUUGACGGUACCUAAUCAGAAAGCCACGGCUAACUACGUG
RNAcentral lists this ribosomal RNA (497 nucleotides) under uncultured bacterium. RNAcentral describes it as "partial 16S ribosomal RNA". It matches the Rfam family "Bacterial small subunit ribosomal RNA", at positions 28 to 507 of the family's 1533-position model. The record is from RNAcentral.